AGCUCUAAGGACACUGCAAACCAUUUUCUAUUGUUUAUUUUUUGGUUCUGGAAGUCUAGACAUAAGAGAGCAGGAGAAAGUUUAGAGAUAAAGGCCUAUUACCCAGGCCAUACAGGGGAAGAAACUUGUCAAGCCCAUGUAGAGAGUUGAGUGCCAGGUGUAUCAAGGAUUGGAGCCGGAAUAUGACUUGUUUGCCUGCAGACACUGAAGGUCUUUAUUUCUUUCAAGUCGCACCUGGUACAAAGUAGGUGCUCAAUAAAUUAAUGUUUCUAAUAGUUGCAAGAAAAUGGUCACUGGGAAAGUGUUCGUCCACUACCCCUGAAAGGUUUCAAGGCUUUUAAUAUUUUUUUUUUUCCCUUGAAUUCCAGAGCCUUCCCUUUGGGUGCCAAGUCCGAGGUGACCUCUUCAAAUUCAUAACGAGUAUGGAAUAAACAGAAAGCAGCUCAAGACACAGGCUAAAGUUUCCCCAACAAAGACGACCUCCCGUAGAUCCAUGCAAUGCCAGAGCUGAAGAUUCCUGGAUAUCAUCUGGUCAACCUCACACACCAUGAAACUGAGGCCCAGAAGAGGAAAAGAUAAUUCAAAGUGACAGACAGACAUGCCUGCACCAGAAGGCUGAUGGGUUUUUGGAGACACUCUGGCCCCAGGAAAUCAUUUGCCAAUGUUUGGUGUGACAUCCAGGGAGUUUUUGAUGCCACCUCUGUAGACUCUAUGAAACCCUGCAUUUAGGAAAACCAGAUUCUUCUCUUAAAAAUGUAACUUAGGCUGUUGAAAGUUCAACAACAAUUGUGAUGAGAAGAGACAGUGUUCACUGGGACUGAUUUCACAAAAGGUUAGCACCUUGGCAAAAG
Molecule: long non-coding RNA, 851 nt
Organism: Dipodomys spectabilis (banner-tailed kangaroo rat)
Lineage: Eukaryota; Metazoa; Chordata; Mammalia; Rodentia; Heteromyidae
Exons: 4
Source: RefSeq, a predicted model, not a curated record